This 519-nucleotide long non-coding RNA is filed under the name Bemisia tabaci. RNAcentral's name for it is "lncRNA ENSSSA3NGG006311". The record is from RNAcentral. Lineage: Eukaryota; Metazoa; Arthropoda; Insecta; Hemiptera; Aleyrodidae.
AUGUGCAAAUUGCCUAUACUGCGCAACUGCGCUUGCAGAAGUGUGAAUACAUCGUCCACUCGAGAAUCACUACGGUUCUUCUCAAAUCAAAGUCCAUCCUCUUUCAUGACUCAUCAAUUUAUGGGAUUGGAUUUUCAGGAGUCACAAAGGAAAAAGGAGGAAGGCCUUGAGGCUUUACGACGCGCAAAGGAGUCGGAAAAAGCAGUAAAUGAUGGACAAGCAGAGAUACAGGAGAAAAUCAACGAAUUAGAAAUUCAAGAGCGUAAUUUAAUGAAGGAGAAACUGGAAAUAGCCCGGGCAUGGAAGGAACUGAAUAGGAGCAGAUCUCAGUUAGAGUUCCUACUGCCAGAAUUGACGAAUGAGGAAAGGCAACUCCUCCAGCCUUCUACUAGGCAGAAACAAAUCGACCGAAAUUUGAUCGUUUACAAGCUACCUGCAGAGAGGGAAGGAGACGGCUUCAAACCUUUCCCAAGUUCAUCGAGCCAUUUUAAUUUAAAGGUUGGCCAGGAAUACGAUUGA